GUAGGGAAUAUUGGGCAAUGGAGGCAACUCUGACCCAGCCAUGCCGCGUGCAGGAUGACGGCCCUCUGGGUUGUAAACUGCUUUUAUACGGGAAGAAAAAAUACUACGUGUAGUAUACUGACGGUACCGUAAGAAUAAGGAUCGGCUAACUCCGUGCCAGCAGCCGCGGUAAUACGGAGGAUCCAAGCGUUGUCCGGAUUUAUUGGGUUUAAAGGGUGCGUAGGCGGAUCUUUAAGUCAGUGGUGAAAGCCUGCAGCUUAACUGUAGAAUUGCCAUUGAAACUGAAGGUCUUGAAUGUGGUUAAAGUAGGCGGAAUGUAUCAUGUAGAGGUGAAAUGCUUAGAUAUGAUACAGAACACCGAUAGCGAAGGCAGCUUGCUGAACCAUUAUUGACGCUGAGGCACGAAAGCGUGGGGAGCGAACAGGAUUAGAUACCCUGGUAGUCC
Molecule: ribosomal RNA, 445 nt
Filed under: uncultured bacterium
Lineage: Bacteria
Description: partial 16S ribosomal RNA
Rfam family: Bacterial small subunit ribosomal RNA
Source: RNAcentral